Molecule: ribosomal RNA, 505 nt
Filed under: uncultured bacterium
Lineage: Bacteria
Description: partial 16S ribosomal RNA
Rfam family: Bacterial small subunit ribosomal RNA
Source: RNAcentral
GACGAACGCUGGCGGCGUGCCUAAUACAUGCAAGUAGAACGCACAGUUUAUACCGUAGCUUGCUACACCAUAGACUGUGAGUUGCGAACGGGUGAGUAACGCGUAGGUAACCUGCCUGGUAGCGGGGGAUAACUAUUGGAAACGAUAGCUAAUACCGCAUAAUAUUAAUUAUUGCAUGAUAAUUAAUUGAAAGGUGCAAUUGCACCACUACCAGAUGGACCUGCGUUGUAUUAGCUAGUAGGUGAGGUAACGGCUCACCUAGGCGACGAUACAUAGCCGACCGGAGAGGGUGAUCGGCCACACUGGGACUGAGACACGGCCCAGACUCCUACGGGAGGCAGCAGUAGGGAAUCGUCGGCAAUGGACGAAAGUCUGACCGAGCAACGCCGCGUGAGUGAAGAAGGUUGUCGGAUCGUAAAGCUCUGUUGUAAGAGAAGAACGGGUGUGAGAGUGGAAAGUUCACACUGUGACGGUAGCUUACCAGAAAGGGACGGCUAACUACGUG